This 893-nucleotide ribosomal RNA is filed under the name uncultured bacterium. RNAcentral describes it as "partial 16S ribosomal RNA". It matches the Rfam family "Bacterial small subunit ribosomal RNA", at positions 621 to 1502 of the family's 1533-position model. The record is from RNAcentral.
GAACNNGGNAAACNAAGAGAUAACNGUAGAAGGGGGGGUAGAAUUUCCAGGNGANAGCGGGUGAAAUGCGUAGAAGAUCUGAAAGGAAUAACCGNGUGGNNGAAGGGCGGCCCACCCUGGACAAGANACUGACACUCAAGAUGCGAAAAGCGUGGGGAGCAAACAGGAUUNAGAUACCCUGGUANNCNACGCCGUAAACGAUGUCUACUUUGGAGGUUGUGGCCUUGAGCCGUGGCUUUCGGAGCUAACGCGUUAAGUAGACCGCCUGGGGGAGUACGGUCGCAAGAUUAAAACUCAAAUGAAUUGACGGGGGCCCGCACAAGCGGUGGAGCAUGUGGUUUAAUUCGAUGCAACGCGAAGAACCUUACCUACUCUUGACAUCUACAGAAGCCAGCGGAGACGCAGGUGUGCCUUCGGGAACUGUAAGACAGGUGCUGCAUGGCUGUCGUCAGNUCGUGUUGUGAAAUGUUGGGUUAAGUCCCGCAACGAGCGCAACCCUUAUCCUUGUUUGCCAGCACUUCGGGUGGGAACUCCAGGGAGACUGCCGGUGAUAAACCGGAGGAAGGUGGGGACGACGUCAAGUCAUCAUGGCCCUUACGAGUAGGGCUACACACGUGCUACAAUGGCGCAUACAGAGGGCGGCCAACUUGCGAAAGUGAGCGAAUCCCAAAAAGUGCGUCGUAGUCCGGAUUGGAGUCUGCAACUCGACUCCAUGAAGUCGGAAUCGCUAGUAAUCGUGGAUCAGAAUGCCACGGUGAAUACGUUCCCGGGCCUUGUACACACCGCCCGUCACACCAUGGGAGUGGGCUGCAAAAGAAGUGGGUAGUUUAACNNNCGGGAGGACGCUCACCACUUUGUGGUUCAUGNNUNNNNNAGUCGUAACAAGGUAACCG